UGAAGAGUAAACUAAGUAAAGUUUUCUGGUUCAUGCCCAGAGUAUAGAGAAAACAUCUCUCUCUUUUA
This 68-nucleotide transfer RNA is filed under the name Corbicula fluminea. Its description in RNAcentral is "tRNA-Met". The record is from RNAcentral. RNAcentral also lists the same sequence under 3 other names. Lineage: Eukaryota; Metazoa; Mollusca; Bivalvia; Venerida; Cyrenidae.